GUAUCACAGCCUGAAAUCAAGACAUCGGCCAAGCCUGGCUCUUCCCUGGAGAUUGUGGGAAAGAACCUGCCUCUCAGGCCAUUCCACUGUUGGCAGAGUUCACUUCUUUGUGUGGGGAGAAGAGAUUUCAGGCACAGGAAGUUCUUGUGAUAGCUUUCUUCAGAGAUGGAGGAAGGCUUCAAGGAGCUGAGAGUGGCCCCCAGCUGACAGUCAGCAAAGACUGGGAACCUCAAUUCUAUACCUGCAAGAACUGAAUUUUGCCAACAAUUAAAUGACCUUGGAGAGGGCCAAAAACGGAGAGCUUUCACGACAACUGAACAGUUUCACCACGUGGUUAGAAAAGCAGCCACCCUCUACCCCCACCUCUGUGAGUGAAAGCC
This is a long non-coding RNA of Heterocephalus glaber (naked mole-rat), 380 nucleotides long. NCBI's taxonomy places the organism in Eukaryota, Metazoa, Chordata, Mammalia, Rodentia, Bathyergidae. The record is from Ensembl.